RNAcentral lists this ribosomal RNA (510 nucleotides) under uncultured bacterium. RNAcentral's name for it is "partial 16S ribosomal RNA". It matches the Rfam family "Bacterial small subunit ribosomal RNA", at positions 28 to 507 of the family's 1533-position model. The record is from RNAcentral.
GACGAACGCUGGCGGCGUGCUUAACACAUGCAAGUCGAACGAAGAGCGAUGGAAUCUUGCGUCUAUCAAUCUUGGUGGCGAACGAGUGAGUAACGCGUAAUCAACCUGCGCUUCAGAGGGGGACACCAGUAGGAAACGACUGCUAAUACCGCAUACGACCUAUUCUCGGCGUCGGGUGUAGAGGAAAGGUGGCCGCGACAGGUAAGCUAGCACUGAAGGAGGUGAUUGCGGCUGAUUAGUUAGUUGGAGGGGUAACGGAGCACGAAGGCGAGGAUCAGUAGCCGGUCUGAGAGGAUGGACGGCCACAUUGGGACUGAGACACGGCCCAGACUCAUACGGGAGGCAGCAGUGGGGAAUCUUCCGCAAUGGACGAAAGUCUGACGGAGCAACGCCGCGUGAGUGAUGACGGCCUUCGGGUUGUAAAGCUCUGUUAAUCGGGAAGAAAGGCCUUCUUGCGAAUAGUGAGAAGGAUUGACGGUACCGGAAUAGAAAGCCACGGCUAACUACGUG